Molecule: ribosomal RNA, 266 nt
Filed under: uncultured bacterium
Lineage: Bacteria
Description: partial 16S ribosomal RNA
Rfam family: Bacterial small subunit ribosomal RNA
Source: RNAcentral
GUCCACGCCGUAAACGAUGGGUGCUAGGUGUCGCGGGCUUUGACCCCUGCGGUGCCGUAGCUAACGCAUUAAGCACCCCGCCUGGGGAGUACGGCCGCAAGGCUAAAACUCAAAGGAAUUGACGGGGGCCCGCACAAGCGGUGGAGCAUGUGGUUCAAUUCGACGCAACGCGCAGAACCUUACCUGGGCUAGAAAGUGCAGGAACCUGGUUGAAAGAUCGGGGUGCUCUUCGGAGAACCUGCAGUUAGGUGCUGCAUGGCUGUCGU